This 253-nucleotide ribosomal RNA is filed under the name uncultured bacterium. RNAcentral's name for it is "partial 16S ribosomal RNA". It matches the Rfam family "Bacterial small subunit ribosomal RNA", at positions 524 to 776 of the family's 1533-position model. The record is from RNAcentral.
UACGAAGGGGGCUAGCGUUGCUCGGAAUCACUGGGCGUAAAGCGCACGUAGGCGGAUCUUUAAGUCAGGGGUGAAAUCCUGGAGCUCAACUCCAGAACUGCCUUUGAUACUGGGGAUCUCGAGUCCGGAAGAGGUGAGUGGAACUCCGAGUGUAGAGGUGAAAUUCGUAGAUAUUCGGAAGAACACCAGUGGCGAAGGCGGCUCACUGGUCCGGUACUGACGCUGAGGUGCGAAAGUGUGGGGAGCAAACAGG